This 492-nucleotide ribosomal RNA is filed under the name uncultured bacterium. RNAcentral describes it as "partial 16S ribosomal RNA". It matches the Rfam family "Bacterial small subunit ribosomal RNA", at positions 28 to 507 of the family's 1533-position model. The record is from RNAcentral.
GAUGAACGCUAGCUACAGGCUUAACACAUGCAAGUCGAGGGGAAACGGCAUUAAGUGCUUGCACUUUUUGGACGUCGACCGGCGCACGGGUGAGUAACGCGUAUCCAACCUUCCCAUGACUAAGGGAUAACCUGCCGAAAGGCAGACUAAUACCUUAUGGUCUUCACUGACGGCAUCAGAUGUGAAGUAAAGAUUUAUCGGUUAUGGAUGGGGAUGCGUCUGAUUAGCUUGUUGGCGGGGUAACGGCCCACCAAGGCAACGAUCAGUAGGGGUUCUGAGAGGAAGGUCCCCCACAUUGGAACUGAGACACGGUCCAAACUCCUACGGGAGGCAGCAGUGAGGAAUAUUGGUCAAUGGGCGAGAGCCUGAACCAGCCAAGUAGCGUGCAGGAUGACGGCCCUAUGGGUUGUAAACUGCUUUUGUAUGGGGAUAAAGUCAAUCGCGUGUGAUUGUUUGCAGGUACCAUACGAAUAAGGACCGGCUAAUUCCGUG